Pseudophryne corroboree (corroboree frog) is the source of this 242-nucleotide long non-coding RNA. RefSeq lists it as uncharacterized. NCBI's taxonomy places the organism in Eukaryota, Metazoa, Chordata, Amphibia, Anura, Myobatrachidae. The transcript is spliced from 2 exons. The record is from RefSeq and is a predicted model, not a curated record.
UGUCACCUCCGGUCGUAUACUCUAGUGGGGAAGAUGCUGCUGCGCAGUGUAUUCCGCCCGGCAUGCCUGGGAACAGGGUCAGUAACAUAGCAUUGAGGCGAUUAACCUACAACCAGGAUUUAUGACCUUGAGAGGAAGCAGGAGCAUCAGUGGAAAUCCGAGUGAACAUGGAGAGAAUAAACAAAGAGCUCCGUGUGUGUUGUGAGUGGAGAAUAAAGUGCUAAUGUGCGGGUUUCAGCUAA